GAUGAGCGCUAGCUACAGGCUUAACACAUGCAAGUCGAGGGGCAUCAUGGAGGAAGCUUGCUUUCUCUGAUGGCGACCGGCGCACGGGUGAGUAACGCGUAUCCAACCUUCCCCUUAGUAGGGCAUAGCCCGGCGAAAGUCGGAUUAAUACCCUAUGCGCUCCAUUGCAGGCAUCUAACGUGGAGCAAAGAUUUAUCGCUGUGGGAUGGGGAUGCGUCUGAUUAGGCAGCAGGCGGGGUAACGGCCCACCUGGCCUACGAUCAGUAGGGGUUCUGAGAGGAAGGUCCCCCACAUUGGAACUGAGACACGGUCCAAACUCC
This 320-nucleotide ribosomal RNA is filed under the name uncultured Prevotella sp. RNAcentral describes it as "bacterial SSU rRNA". It matches the Rfam family "Bacterial small subunit ribosomal RNA", at positions 28 to 339 of the family's 1533-position model. The record is from RNAcentral. Lineage: Bacteria; Pseudomonadati; Bacteroidota; Bacteroidia; Bacteroidales; Prevotellaceae.